GACAGAGGAUGCAAGCGUUAUCCGGAAUGAUUGGGCGUAAAGCGUCUGUAGGUGGCUUUUUAAGUCUGCCGUCAAAUCCCAGGGCUUAACCCUGGACAGGCGGUGGAAACUACCAAGCUGGAGUACGGUAGGGGCAGAGGGAAUUUCCGGUGGAGCGGUGAAAUGCGUAGAGAUCGGAAAGAACACCAGUGGCGAAGGCGCUCUACUGGGCCACAACUGACGCUGAGGGACGAAAGCUAGGGGAGCGAAAGGG
RNAcentral lists this ribosomal RNA (253 nucleotides) under uncultured bacterium. RNAcentral's name for it is "partial 16S ribosomal RNA". It matches the Rfam family "Bacterial small subunit ribosomal RNA", at positions 524 to 776 of the family's 1533-position model. The record is from RNAcentral.